Molecule: transfer RNA, 73 nt
Filed under: Candidatus Carsonella ruddii HC isolate Thao2000
Lineage: Bacteria; Pseudomonadati; Pseudomonadota; Gammaproteobacteria; Oceanospirillales; Halomonadaceae
Description: tRNA-fMet (CAT) (tRNA-fMet-CAT-1-1)
Rfam family: tRNA
About the family: Transfer RNA (tRNA) molecules are approximately 80 nucleotides in length. Their secondary structure includes four short double-helical elements and three loops (D, anti-codon, and T loops).
Source: Rfam by way of RNAcentral
UGCGAAGUAGAGCAGUUGGUAGCUCGUCGGGCUCAUAAUCCGAAGGACAUUGGUUCAAAUCCAAUUUUCGCAA